This 979-nucleotide unclassified non-coding RNA is filed under the name Caenorhabditis elegans. RNAcentral's name for it is "Non-coding transcript of protein-coding gene srd-75". The record is from RNAcentral. Lineage: Eukaryota; Metazoa; Nematoda; Chromadorea; Rhabditida; Rhabditidae.
AUGGAACCCCUGCAAACAAUUUCUCGAGUCUAUUGGACAAUAUUCUUUUCUAUUUGUCUGUGUCUUCACUCUUCAAUGUUCCUUUUGAUCUACUACCGCACAAGUCGAACCAUCAGAAACUUACGGUGGUUUUUAUAUCCUUCGAACACGGCCUCUUUCGUACUUGCUACAGUUGCUUUUAUAUUGCAGAAAUGUCAACAACAAAAUCUCAAUGGCUCUGCUUUGUGAUGGGAUUUGCAAGUUCAUUGGUCCAUGGUUUUGUUAUCACUGUUACAAUUUGCUUUUAACUAUGAUCACUGUAACCGGCCUGAUCAAUCUACACACGUUGUGUUACCGUACAAUGUGUCUAAAGCAUUUUGAGACUCGAAAAUCUAAUCGGGCAUCGCUGAAGUUCUCGCUGCAUUAUUUGAUACCGAUGACCCCACUUAUUCUCACCUACUUUGCCCCAAUAAACCACGCAGAUGUCUACAUGGAAACCCUGAACCUACACCCAAACUACAACUUUGAACCUUAUAAAAAUUUCGGUGGAUUCGCCAAUUCCCAUCAUUUUUGUAUGAAUUUCAACACAGCGAUUUAUGCAUUUAAUACAAUUUAUUUUCCAAUAAUUGGCAAUUAUUGGAAGCGUAUUGCUAUGAAAAUUCUCAAAUCUAGCAUUUCAACGGCAUCAUCGAAAUCGACACGAGUUAUGAGUGAACUGUUGGUUAAGGGCCUUAAUCUUCAAGUACUCUUACCACUUAUCUGCUAUGUUCCUAUCAGUAUACUUUUUUGCUGGAAUAAAUAUUCUGGACAACAAAUCGAGAUAUCACAGUAUUCGAUCGCGUUUUUCGGCACUCUUCCUUGUUUUUUCGAUCCACUGCUCCAAAUCUAUUUCAUACUACCCUAUCGGUCUGCGGUCCGGAGAUUAAUUUUCUGUGGCUGCUCAGCACAAACCAGUGUGGCGAAUUCUAGUCCGAAUCGGGGAACUAUACUUUCUGUUUAA